This 360-nucleotide unclassified non-coding RNA is filed under the name Hevea brasiliensis (rubber tree). Lineage: Eukaryota; Viridiplantae; Streptophyta; Magnoliopsida; Malpighiales; Euphorbiaceae. The record is from RNAcentral.
CAGAUCAAGAAGAAGUUUGGAUCUCAAGUUGAAGCGUUCUUUGUUAUCCUGACAGCAUCUCAGUUUCAUUUGCUGUUCUAUUGCACCCGUCCUCUGCCAAAUAUAUUGGCAUUUGCUUUAGUAAAUUUGGCAUAUGGCUUUUGGUUUAAGGGAAGUCUGUAUGCGGCAUUAAAUUGCAUGGUGUUUGCGACAUUAGUCUUCAGAUGCGACAUACUUCUGCUCAUUGCUCCUUUGGGUUCGGAGCUCUUGCUGACCAAAUCGGUUUCUUUCUGGAAAGCACUGACAUCCUGCUUAGCUGCUACUUUCCUCUCCAUAGGCCUUACCGUUCUUGUUGAUUCAGUCAUUUGGAAAAGGUUGUUG